RNAcentral lists this ribosomal RNA (1050 nucleotides) under Arctic sea ice bacterium 7m22. RNAcentral describes it as "bacterial SSU rRNA". It matches the Rfam family "Bacterial small subunit ribosomal RNA", at positions 392 to 1455 of the family's 1533-position model. The record is from RNAcentral.
CCAUGCCGCGUGCAGGAAGAAUGCCCUAUGGGUAGUAAACUGCUUUUAUACGGGAAGAAAAAGAGCUACGUGUAGCUUACUGACGGUACCGUAAGAAUAAGGACCGGCUAACUCCGUGCCAGCAGCCGCGGUAAUACGGAGGGUCCGAGCGUUAUCCGGAAUUAUUGGGUUUAAAGGGUCCGUAGGCGGGCGAUUAAGUCAGUGGUGAAAGUCUGCAGCUCAACUGUAGAAUUGCCUUUGAUACUGGUCGUCUUGAGUUAUAGUGAAGUUGCCGGAAUAUGUAGUGUAGCGGUGAAAUGCAUAGAUAUUACAUAGAACACCGAUUGCGAAGGCAGGUGACUAACUAUAUACUGACGCUGAUGGACGAAAGCGUGGGGAGCGAACAGGAUUAGAUACCCUGGUAGUCCACGCCGUAAACGAUGGAUACUAGCUGUCCGGGACCUUGAGUCCUGGGCGGCCAAGCGAAAGUGAUAAGUAUCCCACCUGGGGAGUACGUUCGCAAGAAUGAAACUCAAAGGAAUUGACGGGGGCCCGCACAAGCGGUGGAGCAUGUGGUUUAAUUCGAUGAUACGCGAGGAACCUUACCAGGGCUUAAAUGCAUAUUGACAGGGGUAGAGAUACCUUUUCCUUCGGGCAAUUUGCAAGGUGCUGCAUGGUUGUCGUCAGCUCGUGCCGUGAGGUGUCAGGUUAAGUCCUAUAACGAGCGCAACCCCUACCGUUAGUUGCCAGCAUGUCAUGAUGGGGACUCUAACGGGACUGCCGGUGCAAACCGUGAGGAAGGUGGGGAUGACGUCAAAUCAUCACGGCCCUUACGUCCUGGGCCACACACGUGCUACAAUGGCAGGUACAGAGAGCAGCCACGUCGCAAGGCGGAGCGAAUCUAUAAAACCUGUCACAGUUCGGAUCGGGGUCUGCAACUCGACCCCGUGAAGCUGGAAUCGCUAGUAAUCGGAUAUCAGCCAUGAUCCGGUGAAUACGUUCCCGGGCCUUGUACACACCGCCCGUCAGCCAUGGAAGCNGGAGUGCCUGAGUCCGUCACGUAAGGAGCGG